GAUGAAGAACGCAGCGAAAUGCGAUAAGUAGUGUGAAUUGCAGAAUUCAGUGAAUCAUCGAAUCUUUGAACGCACAUUGCACCUCUCGGUAUUCCGGGAGGUAUGCCUGUCCGAGCGUCAUUUGUACCCUCAAGCUCUGCUUGGUGUUGGGUGUUUGUUCCGCCUCUGUGUGUGAACUCGCCUCAAAACAAUUGGCAGCCGGCGUACUUGUUUCGGAGCGCAGCACAUUUUGCGAUCCAGAUCAACGUACAGCGGCAUCCAAGAAGCCUUAUUUAACGCUCUUGACCUCGGAUCAGGUAGGGAUACCCGCUGAACUUAAGCAUAUCAAUAAGCGGAGGA
Molecule: unclassified non-coding RNA, 339 nt
Filed under: soil metagenome
Description: partial contains 5.8S ribosomal RNA, internal transcribed spacer 2, and large subunit ribosomal RNA
Rfam family: 5.8S ribosomal RNA (bases 1-120)
Source: RNAcentral